GAUGAACGCUGGCGGCGUGCCUAAUACAUGCAAGUCGAGCGAACAGAUGAGGAGCUUGCUCCUCUGACGUUAGCGGCGGACGGGUGAGUAACACGUGGAUAACCUACCUAUAAGACUGGGAUAACUUCGGGAAACCGGAGCUAAUACCGGAUAAUAUAUUGAACCGCAUGGUUCAAUAGUGAAAGACGGUUUUGCUGUCACUUAUAGAUGGAUCCGCGCCGCAUUAGCUAGUUGGUAAGGUAACGGCUUACCAAGGCAACGAUGCGUAGCCGACCUUAGAGAGUGAUCGGCCACACUGGAACUGAGACACGGUCCAGACUCCUACGGGAGGCAGCAGUAGGGAAUCUUCCGCAAUGGGCGAAAGCUUGACGGAGCAACGCCGCGUGAGUGAUGAAGGUCUUCGGAUCGUAAAACUCUGUUAUUAGGGAAGAACAAAUGUGUAAGUAACUAUGCACGUCUUGACGGUACCUAAUCAGAAAGCCACGGCUAACUACGUG
This 497-nucleotide ribosomal RNA is filed under the name uncultured bacterium. RNAcentral describes it as "partial 16S ribosomal RNA". It matches the Rfam family "Bacterial small subunit ribosomal RNA", at positions 28 to 507 of the family's 1533-position model. The record is from RNAcentral.